This 480-nucleotide unclassified non-coding RNA is filed under the name Zea mays. RNAcentral's name for it is "misc RNA Zm00001eb371570". Lineage: Eukaryota; Viridiplantae; Streptophyta; Magnoliopsida; Poales; Poaceae. The record is from RNAcentral.
GAUGUCUGCACCCCGCACAUCUACUAUAGAGCGAUAUAUUUAUAAGAAAUCUCUUGCUCCAUAAAUAUAAAUAAACAUAUAUGCAUCUAAUGACGUACAUAAUCAAACUAGUGUACUAUUUUUCUGGUCCACAUGCACACAGCACACCGCAAUUUACAAAUUCUACUACCGACCACACGAACGGGUGCAAGACGAUGCUCUUCUCAUUUCGUCUUAGUAGACUCCUUAGCGUUCCUCUCGCGUUCCAACAUUUCAAACAGGCUGCCAUCGUAGACAGCCCUGACAGUGUCCUUGUGAAGAAACCCUUUUUCAUCUUUGCAGAGGGAGUAAAGCAUCUUCCACUCUGUGAAACCACCCAGCCUGCAGUAAAUUUUCCCAAACAUACUGAGCUCAAAGACAUACCUUCCUGCAAGUCAUAUAUAUAUACUGUUCUAGCUCCUGAAGAGAGUGUUGGUUACCAUCCUUUGAAGUCAUUAGGCU